This 303-nucleotide ribosomal RNA is filed under the name uncultured bacterium. Its description in RNAcentral is "partial 16S ribosomal RNA". It matches the Rfam family "Bacterial small subunit ribosomal RNA", at positions 507 to 808 of the family's 1533-position model. The record is from RNAcentral.
AGCAGUCGCCGCGGUAAUACGUAGGUCCCGAGCGUUAUCCGGAUUUAUUGGGCGUAAAGCGAGCGCAGGCGGUUAGAUAAGUCUGAAGUUAAAGGCUGUGGCUUAACCAUAGUACGCUUUGGAAACUGUUUAACUUGAGUGCAAGAGGGGAGAGUGGAAUUCCAUGUGUAGCGGUGAAAUGCGUAGAUAUAUGGAGGAACGCCGGUGGCGAAAGCGGCCCUCUGGCUUGUAACUGACGCUGAGGCUCGAAAGCGUGGGGAGCAAACAGGAUUAGAUACCCCCGUAGUCCCUGUCUCUUAUACA